UACAGAGGGUGCAAGCGUUAAUCGGAAUUACUGGGCGUAAAGCGUGCGUAGGCGGUUUUGUAAGUCGGGUGUGAAAGCCCCGGGCUCAACCUGGGAAUGCCAUUCGAGACUGCGUAGCUAGGGUGCGGAAGAGGGAAGCGGAAUUUCCGGUGUAGCGGUGAAAUGCGUAGAUAUCGGAAGGAACACCAGUGGCGAAAGCGGCUUCCUGGUCCAGCACCGACGUUCAGGCACGAAAGCGUGGGGAGCAAACAGG
This 253-nucleotide ribosomal RNA is filed under the name uncultured bacterium. RNAcentral's name for it is "partial 16S ribosomal RNA". It matches the Rfam family "Bacterial small subunit ribosomal RNA", at positions 524 to 776 of the family's 1533-position model. The record is from RNAcentral.